CUACCAUGGCAUUCACGGGUAACGGAGGAUUAGGGUUCGAUUCCGGAGAGGGAGCCUGAGAAACGGCUACCACAUCUAAGGAAGGCAGCAGGCGCGUAAAUUACCCAAUCCUGACUCAGGGAGGUAGUGACAAGAAAUAGCAAGAAGUACUUCGUGUAUUUCAUUGAAAUGAACCGAAUUUACACCACUUAGUGAGGAUCAAUUGGAGGGCAAGUCUGGUGCCAGCAGCCGCGGUAAUUCCAGCUCCAAUAGCGUAUAUUAAAGUUGUUGCAGUUAAAAAGCUCGUAGUUGGAUUUCUGGCUGGGCGCUGAUGUGACGCGAAGCGCUCACAAAGCACCGGCCAUCCUUCUGUAAACUCGAUGCGAGAUUCAUUUCUCGUUCGAGGGAUCAGAUAAUUUACCUUGAGAAAAUUAGAGUGUUUCAGGCAGGCUUAGCCGGAAUACAUUAGCAUGGAAUAAUGGAAUAGGACUAUGGUCUCGUUGUUGGUUUGAGGGAUCGCAGUAAUGAUUAAUAGGGAUAGUUGGGGGCAUUAGUAUUUAUUAGCUAGAGGUGGAAUUCUCUAAUUUAAUAAAGACUAACUUAUGCGAAAGCAUUUGCCAAGGAUGUUUUCAUUAAUCAA
RNAcentral lists this ribosomal RNA (619 nucleotides) under Ciliophora sp. Its description in RNAcentral is "SSU rRNA". It matches the Rfam family "Eukaryotic small subunit ribosomal RNA", at positions 341 to 980 of the family's 1831-position model. Lineage: Eukaryota; Ciliophora. The record is from RNAcentral.